UGGGGAAUAUUGGACAAUGGGCGAAAGCCUGAUCCAGCCAUGCCGCGUGUGUGAAGAAGGCCUUUUGGUUGUAAAGCACUUUAAGUGGGGAGGAAAAGCUUGUGGUUAAUACCCAUAAGCCCUGACGUUACCCACAGAAUAAGCACCGGCUAACUCUGUGCCAGCAGCCGCGGUAAUACAGAGGGUGCAAGCGUUAAUCGGAAUUACUGGGCGUAAAGCGCGCGUAGGUGGUUAUUUAAGUCAGAUGUGAAAGCCCCGGGCUUAACCUGGGAACUGCAUCUGAUACUGGAUAACUAGAGUAGGUGAGAGGGGAGUAGAAUUCCAGGUGUAGCGGUGAAAUGCGUAGAGAUCUGGAGGAAUACCGAUGGCGAAGGCAGCUCCCUGGCAUCAUACUGACACUGAGGUGCGAAAGCGUGGGUAGCAAACAGGAUUAGAUACCCUGGUAGUCCACGCCGUAAACGAUGUCUACCAGUCGGUGGGUCUUUUAAAGACUUAGUGACGCAGUUAACGCAAUAAGUAGACCGCCUGGGGAGUACGGCCGCAAGGUUA
Molecule: ribosomal RNA, 549 nt
Filed under: uncultured bacterium
Lineage: Bacteria
Description: bacterial SSU rRNA
Rfam family: Bacterial small subunit ribosomal RNA
Source: RNAcentral